UGUGAACAUUGUUACACGAUGCAGUACGGUAGCUAUGUGAAACAUAUACUUUUGACAAAAUUAUAUAAAACGAUUGCCUUAGAACCGUAGAGAAGAAAGGGAAUUGGUCUUUCUGGGAAUUAAAUAUAUGUCGAUCAACAUACGGAUUCCAGACUGGCCUUUUGCCUAAGUAACCAGGAGCUAACAGCCGUCUAAAAGAUAUCGUGGACGUCUGUUCUCUUUGACGUCAGACUCGUACACGUCGCGUGGAAGAUUAAAAAUACACGCGACCCGGAAAAGCAGUCAAUGUCAGGUAAUUAGUAUUUCGAUUGGUCCCGAUAUUAGAAUCUGGAAUUUUAGGUUAUAAAAUACAAGUUUUCGUUUAAUAUAUAUCACGAGUAUAUUUCAAAGGGAAUAUUAUUCUGUCAUAAGUCCGUACGUGACUACAAUGUAAAUAUCUGUCGAAAUAUAUGUAUUACGUAUACGUGCAUAGAGAGAUGCUCUAAACAUUGUUCGAUACUCAUUUGGUUACGAGCUGCCGUGUGAAACUCAAUGAAGGCUCUAGGGUCUCUGGCGGACGUGAAGGUCUUCGUCGACUGACAAAUCAGCCAUGAAGUAAUUAAUUGACCCUUAACGUCCUCUUCGAGAAUCUACUAGCUCAGAGGGUGAGAACUGGCUCAAGGUUCCUGAACUAAUCCGACUGGGGUAGAGAAUUUAAUCGACGUCCCACUAGGCAGACUCUUGCCAAUGAUAAAUCGACGAUAAAUCAAACAUGGAAAAAGGAUAACUGUGUAAUGGGACUAUCGAAGGAAAUAGGAUCCAGUUCAGACAAUCGUUGGCCUAGUUUACAAGUUCGAUCAGCAGAAAUGUACUGGACUGGCAAUUGAUGUAAAAAGUGUCAAGCCUCAAGGAUACUUACCACGAUAAAAUCACCAGGAAAACCGAGACUGAAGUAAGGAACUUUAUCGUGUGUGUUGGGGUUCGAUAAAUUUUCUAGAUUUUAUAAAUAAAUAAUAGAGUCUCAGCAUCCUGCUGUCGAGUAUCUGAAUGGUGCGAUCAAUAAUUCGACAGCAGGUCCCCAGCAACAGAUCCUGGCAAUAGAGUCUACCUAUCAUAAACUACCGAGAAAUGAAAAACAGGUCGGCUAAACAUAUUCAAACUGAACGAAAGUUAUCGUACCGGUUUAUAAGGAUUGAUUGCGCGAUUGGGAUUUUCGUUAUGACGUAUGUACGACAUUUUAGAUUUCUGGCAGAAGGCCUACAUGUGUUAGGUCCCAAUUUAGUUUCGCUACACGUAACUUCGGCCACGUAUCGAUCAGACUAAGGCCUCUCUUAUUUUCGCUACGUUCAAAAAAAAACAAAAUUGCUAGUUUUAAAUUCUACAGGAUUUAAAACCUGUCC
Long non-coding RNA from Cephus cinctus (wheat stem sawfly), 1379 nucleotides. RefSeq lists it as uncharacterized. The record is from RefSeq and is a predicted model, not a curated record. The transcript has 3 exons. NCBI's taxonomy places the organism in Eukaryota, Metazoa, Arthropoda, Insecta, Hymenoptera, Cephidae.